Molecule: ribosomal RNA, 483 nt
Filed under: uncultured bacterium
Lineage: Bacteria
Description: partial 16S ribosomal RNA
Rfam family: Bacterial small subunit ribosomal RNA
Source: RNAcentral
GACGAACGCUGGCGGCGUGCUUAACACAUGCAAGUCGAACGCUGAAGCUCAGCUUUUGUUGGGUGGAUGAGUGGCGAACGGGUGAGUAACACGUGAGUAACCUGCCCCCUUCUUUGGGAUAACGCCCGGAAACGGGUGCUAAUACUGGAUAUUCACUGGUCUUCGCAUGGGGGUUGGUGGAAAGGGUUUUUCUGGUGGGGGAUGGGCUCGCGGCCUAUCAGCUUGUUGGUGGGGUGAUGGCCUACCAAGGCUUUGACGGGUAGCCGGCCUGAGAGGGUGACCGGGCACAGUGGGACUGAGGUACCGCCCCGAAUGCUAAGGGGGGGAGCCGGUGGGGAGAUUGGCCAAUGGGGGACAGGCCGAAGCCGGCGCGGCGCGGGGGGGAUGGAGGCCUUCGGGUUGUGAACCUCUUUCGCUCAUGGUCAAGCCGCAACAAUGGUUGUGGUGAGGGUAGUGGGUAAAGAAGCGCCGGCUAACUACGUG